GACGAACGCUGGCGGCGUGCUUAACACAUGCAAGUCGAACGGAAAGGCCCUGCUUUUGUGGGGUGCUCGAGUGGCGAACGGGUGAGUAACACGUGAGUAACCUGCCCUUGACUUUGGGAUAACUUCAGGAAACUGGGGCUAAUACCGGAUAGGAGCUCCUGCUGCAUGGUGGGGGUUGGAAAGUUUCGGCGGUUGGGGAUGGACUCGCGGCUUAUCAGCUUGUUGGUGGGGUAGUGGCUUACCAAGGCUUUGACGGGUAGCCGGCCUGAGAGGGUGACCGGCCACAUUGGGACUGAGAGACGGACCAGACUCCUACGGGAGGCAGCAGUGGGGAAUAUUGCACAAUGGGCGGAAGCCUGUUGCAGCAACGCCGCGUGCGGGAUGACGGCCUUCGGGGUGUAAACCGCUUUCGCCUGUGACGAAGCGUGAGUGACGGUAAUGGGUAAAGAAGCACCGGCUAACUACGUG
RNAcentral lists this ribosomal RNA (468 nucleotides) under uncultured bacterium. Its description in RNAcentral is "partial 16S ribosomal RNA". It matches the Rfam family "Bacterial small subunit ribosomal RNA", at positions 28 to 507 of the family's 1533-position model. The record is from RNAcentral.